This 611-nucleotide ribosomal RNA is filed under the name uncultured Oscillospiraceae bacterium. RNAcentral's name for it is "bacterial SSU rRNA". It matches the Rfam family "Bacterial small subunit ribosomal RNA", at positions 1 to 635 of the family's 1533-position model. Lineage: Bacteria; Bacillati; Bacillota; Clostridia; Eubacteriales; Oscillospiraceae. The record is from RNAcentral.
CGCCCUUAGAGUUUGAUCAUGGCUCAGGACGAACGCUGGCGGCGCGCCUAACACAUGCAAGUCGAACGGAGGAAGCUUUCGGGUGGAUUAGUGGCGAACGGGUGAGUAACACGUGAAUAACCUACCCUAGAGUGGGGGACAACAUUUGGAAACAGAUGCUAAUACCGCAUAAGACCACGACCGCAUGGCCUGAGGCCAAAGGAGCAAUUCGCUUUGGGACGGAUUCGCGUCCGAUUAGCUAGAUGGUGAGGUAACGGCCCACCAUGGCAACGAUCGGUAGCCGGACUGAGAGGUCGAACGGCCACAUUGGGACUGAGACACGGCCCAGACUCCUACGGGAGGCAGCAGUGGGGAAUAUUGCACAAUGGAGGAAACUCUGAUGCAGCGACGCCGCGUGAGGGAAGAAGGUUUUCGGAUUGUAAACCUCUGUCUUCGAGGACGAUAAUGACGGUACUCGAGGAGGAAGCCACGGCUAACUACGUGCCAGCAGCCGCGGUAAAACGUAGGUGGCAAGCGUUGUCCGGAAUUACUGGGUGUAAAGGGAGCGCAGGCGGAAAUUCAAGUCAGAUGUGAAAACUAUGGGCUCAACCCAUAGACUGCGUCUGAAACUG